AUGGAGACGGACUGUCAAGACUUUGUCAAUCUCUGGAGCUUGCGCCACAACUCACGAUCAGUGGUGGCGCUUAUCAUAGCUGAGAUAGGGGAGCAUGCUUGUUCUUUUACUUCUUUUUUUAUUCAGCAUAUUUCUAGAUCAGCAAACUUUUCUACCCAUCUAUGUGCAAAGCAAGUGAGCACGCUGGAUGUGACAGACUGCUGGAUGGGCUCGAUGCAUAGCUUUCUUGUAACUAGCCUUAUGGCAGAUUCUGCCGAGGCUUCUGUUGAAUAA
RNAcentral lists this ribosomal RNA (273 nucleotides) under Triticum aestivum (bread wheat). RNAcentral's name for it is "partial small subunit ribosomal RNA". The record is from RNAcentral. Lineage: Eukaryota; Viridiplantae; Streptophyta; Magnoliopsida; Poales; Poaceae.